Molecule: ribosomal RNA, 774 nt
Filed under: Meloidogyne graminicola
Lineage: Eukaryota; Metazoa; Nematoda; Chromadorea; Rhabditida; Meloidogynidae
Description: partial large subunit ribosomal RNA
Rfam family: Eukaryotic large subunit ribosomal RNA
Source: RNAcentral
GAUUACAAGUACCGUGAGGGAAAGUUGCAAAGCACUUUGAAGAGAGAGUUAAAGAGGACGUGAAACCGGUGAGGUGGAAACGGAUAGAGUCGGCGUAUCUUGCAAGUAUUCAUUUACAUUUAGUUGUAUUUUUUAGCUUUGAGCUCCAGAUUGGGACAGAGUUAAAUUAUAUAAUUAUUUGUGAUGCAUUUACUUGCAUGGUGCGUGGGGAUUUCUGAGACAGAUUUGUGCCCUACGUUUUGAGGCCAGCUUGCUGGUACCCGAAUGUGGUUAGCAAUUUUUGUUUUAGUUGUAAAAAAAGUAUGGCUUACGGACUUUAUGUGGAUUGAUUUGGUUGUAAGUUACGGUCGCAUGCGACACGUGCUUUUCAAUCUUUUCGGUCUGUGUAAUGUUCUCAUACUUAUUCCCCAUGUAAAAGCCGGUCAUCUAUCCGACCCGUCUUGAAACACGGACCAAGGAGUUUAUCGUGUGCGCAAGUUUUUGGGUGUUUAAAACCUAAAGGCGAAAUGAAAGUAAAUGACUCUUCGAGUCUGAUGUGCGACCUUUUCUUUUUGAAAAGUGCAGCAUGGCCCCAUUCUAACUGUUUACAGUAGGGUGGAGGAAGAGCGUACGCGGUGAGACCCGAAAGAUGGUGAACUAUUCCUGAGCAGGACGAAGCCAGAGGAAACUCUGGUGGAAGUCCGAAGCGGUUCUGACGUGCAAAUCGAUCGUCUGACUUGGGUAUAGGGGCGAAAGACUAAUCGAACCAUCUAGUAGCUGGUUCCUUCCGAAAUC